GGGGGAGGCUGGUGAGGCAUGUCCUGGCUUGUCUGCGGUGUCGGCUUUGAAGAGGCCCCAGAGGUGUUCCUCUGCUUCAUGCUGAUUCCUGGGAGGAGAAGGCCUAUCCCAAAGAAGGGGCCAUGGCCAUCAAGGGGCAACAGAGAUGGUGGGCUCCUUCAGACCAAUUGGAAGCAGAGAAACUCAUGGUGUCAUCACAGCCUCGGUUAUUCCCCCACCCUGGACACCGGUAUUCAUUUUGAUGAAUGUCCAUCCUGUAAUGUGGGAGCUACUGGAGGAAGCUACUUGAGAAAGAAGAAAAAGGCGCAUGGUGGCACUGGGCUCUUCGAGUUCACGGGCUCUCUGCUAUUAACUGUGGUGAGCCAGGAGCACAAGCUGGAAUGUGGUGGGUCUUUAGGAAAUGUAUGGUUCAGUCACUACGUUUUCUGGUCCAUAGGAAGAAGGGGGGGGGCAGGUAUGCUGUUCUCAUAGUACAGAAACCGAAAUUGGAGACCAGAUGAACCCUGGGGCUGGAUCGAGGUUCUCUGGGGACCUCAUUCUGUUUGCCGGAGAGAUAAGACAGUGGACCUUCACGAAUGGAAGACAAGCAGUCUUUGUUGGUACAUGACUGCCCAAUUCCCCAACUCGUCUCUGAACCUCUCCACUUCCCUGACCAUCUGAACCCUAUCUCAACUCUUCACAGACGAGACAACAAUCCCCUUUUAUGUAUGUAGUAUUUUAGAGUUACAGAGCAUUUUUAUAUGCCGUCCCCCCCCCCCCCCCCCCAGCAGUGCUGUGAAGCAGGCAAAAUGAGGACUUUCGUUUAACAGAUGAAAUAUCUGAGAAACCGGGGCCCGGGCUGGUGUUGGGUUUGCUCUGAAGGCCCCCCAUUCAAAUGGUAUGCCUGGGGAUUCUAACUCACAUUCUUGGUCACCCCAACCUUUGGGAUCAGGGAGGUCCUUGGCAUGCAGAUGAUAAUGGAAUUCUCUUUUUUUACUGAGGUGAAAUUCACAUGGCCUACGAUUUGCCAUUUUAAAGUGAACAGUUCAAUGGCAUUCAGAGCAAGGGCAACCACAAUGUUGUGCAA
This 1066-nucleotide long non-coding RNA is filed under the name Lynx canadensis (Canada lynx). Its description in RNAcentral is "lncRNA (ENSLCNG00005005096.1)". The record is from RNAcentral. Lineage: Eukaryota; Metazoa; Chordata; Mammalia; Carnivora; Felidae.